This 465-nucleotide ribosomal RNA is filed under the name Vreelandella stevensii. RNAcentral's name for it is "partial 16S ribosomal RNA". It matches the Rfam family "Bacterial small subunit ribosomal RNA", at positions 338 to 795 of the family's 1533-position model. The record is from RNAcentral. Lineage: Bacteria; Pseudomonadati; Pseudomonadota; Gammaproteobacteria; Oceanospirillales; Halomonadaceae.
CCUACGGGUGGCUGCAGUGGGGAAUAUUGGACAAUGGGCGAAAGCCUGAUCCAGCCAUGCCGCGUGUGUGAAGAAGGCCUUCGGGUUGUAAAGCACUUUCAGUGGGGAAGAAAGCCUUGGGGCUAAUACCCUCGAGGAAGGACAUCACCCACAGAAGAAGCACCGGCUAACUCCGUGCCAGCAGCCGCGGUAAUACGGAGGGUUCGAGCGUUAAUCGGAAUUACUGGGCGUAAAGCGCGCGUAGGCGGUCUGAUAAGCCGGUUGUGAAAGCCCCGGGCUCAACCUGGGAACGGCAUCCGGAACUGUCAGGCUAGAGUGCAGGAGAGGAAGGUAGAAUUCCCGGUGUAGCGGUGAAAUGCGUAGAGAUCGGGAGGAAUACCAGUGGCGAAGGCGGCCUUCUGGACUGACACUGACGCUGAGGUGCGAAAGCGUGGGUAGCAAACAGGAUUAGAUACCCGUGUAGUC